GGGAGGUAGUGACAAUAAAUAACAAUACGGGGUUCUUCGAAUCUCGUAAUUGGAAUGAGUACAAUUUAAAUCUCUUAACGAGGAACAAUUGGAGGGCAAGUCUGGUGCCAGCAGCCGCGGUAAUUCCAGCUCCAAUAGCGUAUAUUAAAGUUGUUGCAGUUAAAAAGCUCGUAGUUGAAUUUCGGGGUCAGUAGGUUGGUCGUGCCACUGGUAUGCACUGGCCUCACUGAUUCCUCCUUCUUGAAGAACUGUGAUGUCAUUCAUUUGGUGUUGCAGGGAAACAGGACUGUUACUUUGAAAAAAUUAGAGUGUUUAAAGCAGGCUAACGCUUGAAUACAUUAGCAUGGAAUAAUGAAAUAGGACGUUUGAUCCUAUUUUGUUGGUUUCUAGGAUUGACGUAAUGAUUAAUAGGGAUAGUUGGG
This 422-nucleotide ribosomal RNA is filed under the name uncultured Glomeraceae. Its description in RNAcentral is "SSU rRNA". It matches the Rfam family "Eukaryotic small subunit ribosomal RNA", at positions 459 to 886 of the family's 1831-position model. The record is from RNAcentral. Lineage: Eukaryota; Fungi; Glomeromycota; Glomeromycetes; Glomerales; Glomeraceae.